Non-coding RNA from Chelonoidis abingdonii (Abingdon island giant tortoise), 153 nucleotides. NCBI's taxonomy places the organism in Eukaryota, Metazoa, Chordata, Testudines, Testudinidae. The record is from RefSeq and is a predicted model, not a curated record.
UCCCAACACUCCCAACUUUUGCAGGACUUUUUGACCCCAAAACCUCCUGUCCUGGUUGAAGAUGCUUGUGUCUCACAGGGUUGACCGGGCUUGGCUUCAUGCUCCAGGUGUUAUGACCUGGCCCCUGACACUCAGGUUUGCAGUCACACUCAG